Long non-coding RNA from Quercus lobata, 484 nucleotides. RefSeq lists it as uncharacterized. The transcript has 2 exons. The record is from RefSeq and is a predicted model, not a curated record. NCBI's taxonomy places the organism in Eukaryota, Viridiplantae, Streptophyta, Magnoliopsida, Fagales, Fagaceae.
GAUCACACCACUGACUAGCUUGCAUUCGAUUUGACGAAUUUAUUUUGUUUGUGCUCGAACAACCAGAAUAUGCAGUCAAGUAAGGUUAUAUUGGACGUGCAAGGAAAACUGCAGGAAGUCAACAUAUCUCUCUAGCCCUGAAAACCAUAGAUGACUAAAGUACUUCUAUUGUGUUUGAGGCGAGUAAUUGAUACCAGCUGUUACAGUUUGAUCAUGGAUCAUAUAACCCAAAAAACUGUAUAACUAACCUGAAAGGCACUAUAUGGUUAUGAAGAAAUAUCAGUAGGAUUUUUUUUUUUUUUUUUUAAUUUGUUCAUGUGCAGCCCCCCUUCAUUUCAUUUGUACCCUAAUUGCUUGCUUAUGAGAGAGCUAUGCAUGUUAAUAUGUAAUUCAUAAAAUCAGCUCGUUUGAAGUUGGAAAUUAUUAUUAACUUGUUAAUAUAUAUAAAAGGAGUAUGCUCAGGGCAAUGAUUUCUUUAAGAUUA